UAGAAGCCGAUGAAGGACGUUACUAACGACGAUAUGCUUUGGGGAGCUGUAAGUAAGCUUUGAUCCAGAGAUUUCCGAAUGGGGAAACCCAGCAUGAGUUAUGUCAUGUUAUCGAUAUGUGAAUACAUAGCAUAUCAGAAGGCACACCCGGAGAACUGAAACAUCUUAGUACCCGGAGGAAGAGAAAGAAAAUUCGAUUCCCUUAGUAGCGGCGAGCGA
RNAcentral lists this ribosomal RNA (219 nucleotides) under Staphylococcus aureus. RNAcentral describes it as "partial 23S ribosomal RNA". It matches the Rfam family "Bacterial large subunit ribosomal RNA", at positions 40 to 256 of the family's 2925-position model. The record is from RNAcentral. Lineage: Bacteria; Bacillati; Bacillota; Bacilli; Caryophanales; Staphylococcaceae.